CAACAUCAAAAAUAAAACUCAACCAAUACUUUUAAUUAAAUUAUGAGCCUUUCAAAUUAAACACAUCAAAUACCAUAUGCCCGAAGCAAUGAAGAGAUAAAAGGAACAUCAUUGCAUAAUAUAAUCUCAAGUGCAUGUAUAUCAGGAACUAAAUUCAUAUGUCAGGAACAAAUUAUUUUUUCGAUUGAACAGAAGUCCAAAUCCGUAUUAAAAGUGGGGUUAUAGAGGAAAACAAAACAACAGGUAAAAUGUCAAGAAGUACCAAAAUCAUCUCCAUCCAAUUGACGAGGUUAAAUCAGACAGAGAGCUUGUUGACAAUGCCGUCAGAGUAGAUGGAGUCAGCCUCAUUGUCAUCGUCGUUCAUAUCGACGGUUUGGAUGUUGACACAAGAGAAUCGCUCCAAAGAGGAGAAAACGAACGCUGUCGUUGACCCAUGCAUCUUGUCAAAGAAGAUGAACAUUAAAGUCCCACUCACCAACCAUUUAUUUGUUUCCGAUUAAGAUGAAGAUCGGAGAAGAUGAAGAUUGAAGAUCUCUUCCGUUGGUUUUUGUUGGGAGG
RNAcentral lists this long non-coding RNA (558 nucleotides) under Linum usitatissimum (flax). RNAcentral describes it as "long non-coding RNA (LUSI_LNC007605)". The record is from RNAcentral. Lineage: Eukaryota; Viridiplantae; Streptophyta; Magnoliopsida; Malpighiales; Linaceae.